Long non-coding RNA from Lytechinus variegatus (green sea urchin), 3004 nucleotides. RefSeq lists it as uncharacterized. The record is from RefSeq and is a predicted model, not a curated record. The transcript is spliced from 2 exons. Lineage: Eukaryota; Metazoa; Echinodermata; Echinoidea; Temnopleuroida; Toxopneustidae.
CGCUCGCCCACACACUCCUCCGCUUUCCGCCAAUAGGGAUAUAUAUCAGGGAGCCGCUCUCGGACAUGACGGUAAUUUGCAUAGAUAACGCUCGAAUGGUGUCAUCAUCCACCUGAUGAAGAUAGUCACUCAAGGUUGACACGUAUCGUGAUUGCUUUACUCCUCUCUCCGUCUAGUCAACACACACCAUCACUCGGCUGUCUCUCUUCCCUCUUUUCUCAUUUAGAUAAAGCAUCGGCCCGUUGAGCUACCAGCAUCAUCAAUCUUCUCCGAGGAGGAAGCUACCCGCGAGGAACGAGGCCUGCGAGGAGAAACCAGUUCGAAGCGACUCCUCAAGGGAGACUGUGUAGUAUUACGAGGUACCAAGGAUAAAACAAAACAAAAACUUUAUAUCAAGAUGAAAAGUCUACUUGCUGGUGUUCUUAUUGUGAUAGUGGCCUUGGCAUCGAUGCUCUCAUGUUGCCACGCCGAAAGGAUGGGCGAUGGCAAGGACGAGUAUUACGAACUAAUCGACUGGUUAAGUGCUGUAAAACGGGGAUCAAAGGGUGGACUUGGACGAUCUUUCUGUAAAGUGGACAAGGACAACGCACACAACUGUCGCCGUGGCUACACCUGCAACGCCUUCCUCGAUGGUGGACAGUGCACUAGGAGCACGAGGUGGUGCGUUUGCCGCCCUCAUGAUGAAAUCAGUUGGCUAUUGUAGAGACCUAACUUAGACCAAAAUUCCCACCCGGCAUCUUUUCCCUUCAAGACACACACAUCACAAGACUAUUAAGACCUUGCCAGAUUAGACGUUUUUAUUUAGGUUUUUCUUACCGAGUUGACUACGUUUACACCCUGGCCAGAUGAUUGACGAUCAUUGGGAUUUUAGAAGGAUGUCUUCUUCAUUGCAUGGACCUGCAUUUCAUCGACACGUCAAAUGAUCGCCUGUGAGAAGGACUAUAUAUGAAUCAACUGUCACAAAGAACUUAAGCAUCCGAAUCCCCUAAAUUCUGAGAACUAGUAUGUAGACUUCGAAUGAAAGAUUAUCGAUUAGCAAGUCCGGAUCGAAUGAUUGCCUAUACAAUAGCGAGUUUUUGCACUGCUACGGGGAACGAAUUCAAGAACGCAGUAAAUGUAUUUAUAAAAAAAUGUCAGAUGUCAACAAGCACCUCGGAGGCAUUUGUCGAAAAUUGGUGAUCCGGAAUAUAAGUUCGUCCAAAGUUUCGGAGCUUAAGAAAAAUUGCAAAUUCUGGGUUUGUCCGGAGUCCGAUUAUCGACAAAGAAUUCCCGGUUGCUAAAUGUCAUGAAGGCGUUUGAGAGUACAUUUUCUAUGUUCUUCAAAGUUUUCUGCGUCGCGGUGCGAAAACUCUCUACAUUCAAAGAGACCCUCUUCGUCCUGAUGGUGUAAAAACAGUGUGGGUGUCAUGCGAAAGCCUGCUUCAAUAAUCUUAUUACACAUUCCUAUUAAAAUUAUUUCACAUAUGAUGUAAUUUAUCAAGAGAUUGUAGAUAUUAUUUCAUAAUUGUUUCAAAUAUAUUCACAUUUUUAAAAGUAAUUAGAGUUUCAGUUUACAAAGAAUAAAAAUGUGAUGAUAAUGACGAACCAGAACAUGUCCCUAACCUUUAACGGGGAAUUAAUAUAAUUAAUAGGAAGACACAUUUGCAAAUAGACCAUGGAGGAGAUACCUUCAAUCUUGUCAAACUAUUGAAAUGGGAACUCAUUAGGUACGAACUAUAAUGCAAAAGAUGCUAGUUUGUGAUAUGCCAUUCAAAAUAAAUAGCACAAAAAGCUUUACAGGAUUAUGAUUUAAUCAGGAGUGGGCGUAUGCCAUGAACCUUAAGGUCUCCCAUCUCCCGACUAUUGUACUUCAAACUUCAAGAAAUUAAACACUGAAAGUAUUUUGGUUUGUUAUGGAUAGUAAUAUGACUUCGGUGAUCGUUCUUUUUUAGAAUCGAAUUUUUGCCCUUUCAUGGUAAAAAUAAAUGUCACUUUUAGCAAAACCUCCGUCUAAAUAUUUUAGUGUAUGAAUAUUUAUAACAACGACUCACGUCCACGCAUUUCGUUAUAUUACCGGUGAUAAAUCCUAAUGGAUUGAAAAUUGCUGGGAUUUGAAAAGAAUGAUUGCCCGCUGUCCAAGUUCAUGUAAUCUUUCUAAAUUGAAAUAAUAUUAUUCUUUACUCCGAGCUAGAGCUAAAUUAUACCGUUCUUUUUUUCAUUUCAUUGAUCAUUUAUUUUUUUAAAAGAAUACUAUUGUUAUAAUAUUAUAUUGUUAGUCUCACUAUUUCGUUGUGGCUAUUAGUGCAAGGUUGCAUAAUAUUUAUGAAAAGUGAACUGCAUUAUUUGCAAAGCCACUUACAAUCCUAAUACAUAAAUUGAUUAAUUUAAGAGACUUGUGACAAAAUUAAUGCUGACCAGUUCCUGGUUCGAUCGACCACGAUUUCGUGACAAACUUGUGUUUCAUUCAAUAGCGAGAAUUGCUAGGACUGAUCACAUAUGAAUGAUCAUUGGGCAUUCUUAUAUUUCUUUGUCAAAGAAGGUUCAUUCUCUGAUUGUACAAUUUACAUUCCUUUGCUAAUUAACAACAUUAUUUUUUUUCGUUUCUCUAAACCGAGAUAGAUUCAUUCCAUACGUCGUGUAAACAAGGACAAUAUUCAUGUUUCACCUGUUAAAUGUCCGCUCAUAUCAAUAUUUCAACCAUGCCUAUGAAAAGAAAAAAUAUUAUUAUAAUUUUGAUCGGAUCUUCAGAUCACUUUUUCCAAAGUCUUUCUUAUAAUGUCUCAAGUGACAAAAAAAGUUACUCCUCGUUUAUUAUUAACCCUAAUGAUGUUAAUUGAAUGACAUGGUCAUAGAUGAUGUAUAUGGUGAAAAUUUCCUCUAAUUUCAAAACUAAACGGUAAUUAUUUCUGUUGAAUUCAUUAUUGAAUUCAUGUUCCUGCACUUACAUUAUCAUCCCAACAAUGUUUUUAUCCUUUUCUGAGAUGUUAUUUCAGUUUAAUGCAAAUAAAGUAUCUUUUGAAUUAUA